UCAAGCUACAAAGGGCGCAAGGAGAAUGCCUUGGCACUGGGAGCCGAUGAAAGACGUGAUAAGCUGCGAUAAGCCUUGGGGAGGAGCAAAUAUCCAUUGAUCCAGGGAUUUCUGAAUGAGGAAACUCACCGAAGCUCAUACUUCGGUACUGCACACUGAAUCCAUAGGUGUGUGGGGGGAACCGCCUGAACUGAAACAUCUAAGUAGGGCGAGGAAGAGACAUCAAACGAGAUUCCGUUAGUAGUGGCGAGCGAACGCGGAAGAGGGCAAACCGGAAGGAGAAAUCCUUCCGGGGUAUGGACCGCUUUAAGGACUUAAGUUGCUAGCUGAAUGGCAUGGGAAGGCCAUCCAAAGAGUGUGAGAGACACGUAAGCGAAAGUAACGAGAGCUGCGCGAGUUCCAGAGUACGGCCAGACACGUGAAACCUGGUCGGAAGAUGGGGGGACCACCCUCCAACCCUAAAUACUACCCAGUGACCGAUAGCGUAUAGUACUGUGAAGGAAAGGUGAAAAGGACCCCGGGAGGGGAGUGAAAGAGAACCUGAAACCUUGUGCCUACAAGCACAUAGAGCACAUCAACGUGUGAUAUGGUACUUUUUGUAGAACGGUCCGGCGAGCGAUUGUAUGUUGCGAGCUUAAGCGCUUAAGGCGUGGAGGCGUAGCGAGAGCGAGUCUGAAUAGGGCGUUCAGUAGCAUGCAAUGGGCCCGAAACCGGGUGACCUACCCAUGAUCAGGCUGAAGUGAAAGUAAAAUUUCAUGGAGGGCCGAACCGACCUCCGUUGAAAAGGCGGCGGAUGAAUUGUGGGUAGCGGAGAAAUUCCAAUCGAACUCGGAGAUAGCUGGUUCUCCCCGAAAUAGCUUUAGGGCUAGCCUCAUAUUAGAUACCCGGAGGUAAAGCACUGAAUGGCCUAGCGCCCGAGAGGGUAGCGAAGCCUAUCAAACUAAGAAUGCCGGAGUAUUGAUGUAUGGGAGUCAGACAGUGUGAGAUAAAUCUCAUUGUCAAAAGGGAAACAGCCCAGAUCUACAGCUAAGGUCCCAAAUUGUAUCUAAGUGGAAAACGAUGUGGAAAUACGCAGACAACCAGGAUGUUGGCUCAGAAGCAGCCACUCAUUUAAAGAGUGCGUAAUAGCUCACUGGUCGAGCGUCUCUGCGCGGAAAAUUUAACGGGGCUAAGAUACAAACCGAAGCUUAGGCUGCACGUAAGUGCGGGGUAGGGGAGCGUUGUGUAAGCGGAGAAACAGUAGCGUAAGCGGCUGUGGAGUUUACAGAAGUGAGAAUGCCGGAAUGAGUAGCGCGAAUGUGGUGAGAAUCCACAUGGCCGGAAACCUCAGGUUUUUGGAGGAAGGUUCGUCCGCUCCAAGUUAGGCGGGAGCUAAGGUAAGGCCGAAAGGCGUAGCCGAUGCACAGACGGUAGAGAUUCCGUCCCCACCGAAAAACUUAAGCACAGGGACACUUUCAGAAGGUCGGAGCCAGGUGUUGGUUCUGGUAGUGAUCGAGGGAAAUAUAGUACCGAAGUCCGGCUGGAAGAGAGGCGAGAAAAGCUGUGUGUAUGUUUAAGGUGCCCGUACCGCAAACCGACACAGGUAGGUAGGAAGAAGAUUCUAAGGCCAACGGGAGAAGGGUUGUUAAGGAACUCGGCAAGUUGACCCCGUAACUUCGGAAUAAGGGGUGCUCACGAGAGUGAGCCGCAGAGAAUAGGCCCAGGCAACUGUUUACCAAAAACACAGGUUUGUGCUAAAUCGAAAGAUGACGUAUACGAGCUGACGCCUGCCCGGUGCUGGAAGGUUAAAAGGAGAUGUGCAAGCAUUGAAUUGAAGCCCCAGUGAACGGCGGCCGUAACUAUAACGGUCCUAAGGUAGCGAAAUUCCUUGUCAGGUAAG
This 1879-nucleotide ribosomal RNA is filed under the name human gut metagenome. RNAcentral's name for it is "bacterial LSU rRNA". It matches the Rfam family "Bacterial large subunit ribosomal RNA", at positions 3 to 1980 of the family's 2925-position model. The record is from RNAcentral.